This 264-nucleotide ribosomal RNA is filed under the name uncultured archaeon. RNAcentral describes it as "partial 16S ribosomal RNA". It matches the Rfam family "Archaeal small subunit ribosomal RNA", at positions 717 to 982 of the family's 1478-position model. The record is from RNAcentral.
ACACGACUACAUUAGAUACCCGGGUAGUCCAGGGUGUAAACGCUGCGGGCUUGGUGUUGGGGGUCCUUUGAGGGCGCCCAGUGCCGGAGAGAAGUUGUUAAGCCUGCUGCUUGGGGAGUACGUCCGCAAGGAUGAAACUUAAAGGAAUUGGCGGGGGAGCACCGCAACGGGAGGAGCGUGCGGUUCAAUUGGAUUCAACGCCGGACAACUCACCAGGAGCGACGGUUACAUGAAGGCCAGGCUGAUGACCUUGCCUGAUUUCCG